This 272-nucleotide signal recognition particle RNA is filed under the name Candidatus Woesearchaeota archaeon. RNAcentral's name for it is "signal recognition particle sRNA". It matches the Rfam family "Archaeal signal recognition particle RNA". Lineage: Archaea; Nanobdellati; Candidatus Woesearchaeota. The record is from RNAcentral.
GGACAGGCUAGGUCGGCAGGUUAGCCCUCUGCUGUCAUCGUGAACGGGCUUUACGCGGGACCGAAGCCUGGGAAGAGGCAUUGUCACGCCCACAGGUCUCGAGCAGGACGCUGACGUUCUGUCCUGCAGGAUUGACGGUGUGGGAACCGCGCCAGGGCCGGAAGGCAGCAACGCUCACCAUAGCGCUCAGUGCUUGCAGGGUAGCGGAACCGAGAAAUGUUCGAGAUCCACCUGUUUGCGUUUCAGUGUACCAUUCUCGGGCGCGCCUGUCC